Molecule: ribosomal RNA, 496 nt
Filed under: uncultured bacterium
Lineage: Bacteria
Description: bacterial SSU rRNA
Rfam family: Bacterial small subunit ribosomal RNA
Source: RNAcentral
AACGAACGUUGGCGGCGUGGAUUAGGCAUGCAAGUCGAACGAAUCCCAGUGGGGGUAACUCUGCUGGGGGAAGUGGCGAAAGGGGCAGUAAUGCGUGGAUAACCUACCCUUGGGACGGGGAUAGCCCUCCUAACGGAGGGGUAAUACUCGGCGACGUGGCGAGGGGGCAUCUCCUUGCCACCAAAUGAAUUUCGCCCGAGGAGGGGUUCACGUGCUAUUAGCUUGUUGGCGGGGUAACGGCCCACCAAGGCUAAGAUGGCUAGCGGGUGUGAGAGCACGACCCGAGCCACGGGCACUGCGACACUGGCCAGACUCCUACGGGAGGCUGCAGUCGAGGAUCUUCGGCAAUGGGCGCAAGCCUGACCGAGCGACGCCGCGUGUGCGAUGAAGGCCUUCGGGUUGUAAAGCACUGUCGAGGGGGACCAAGGCCCGAAAGGGCUUGAGAGAUCCCUGGAGGAAGCACGGGCUAAGUUCGUGCCAGCAGCCGCAGUAAAAC